AUUCGCUUAGCACAACCCCAGGGAAGGGAACACAGGGGUAGAAGAGAAGACACGCAGACCCAGACCCAGACUGAGACCCAACAGCAGAUAAAAGGGUCUGAGAGCAGCCCGUCAGUGUUCGCUCCCGGGUAACUGAGAGACUUGCUUGACUUACACGAAAGAAAGCGGGGAGAGGAUUAAAGGGAAAAGUAGUGCCCCCCAAAGCUUAACUAUUUUAGAAAGCAAAGCAAAGAAAAAUCACUUUCCUGGGGAUAAAAGGCCGGGAAAACAGCCUGUCGGAGACACAAAGCUUCCUCAUCUGCUAAACGCCCUGUAAGAAUGGCAGUGUCCUUGUAAGGAUUAAAUAAGACCCUAGGUGGUUCUUGUCUCUCUGGAAUCAUAUUUGACUCACAGUUGGUUUUGCAACAGGCCCUGAACCUCUUCUUGCCAACUUCUUUCUCUGCACCCCACCCCACCCUUAACUGCCAUGACAUUUGUUAAUUUAAAAGAAAACACAUCACUCCCCUUUGCAACUGUGACUUUUCAACAGCAAAAGAAAGUAAAAUUCUGAAGAGCUUCAAGUGUAAAAUGUUUUAUUCAGAUUUUAUUUUGUUGGUUGACUUUUAAAAACCUCUUUCCUUGGUUGCUAUUUCUGGGAAAGAAAGAAACAACUGUGCAUAAUCAGUUGUUUACUGGACAUUAUGCACAUUUGUACUGGUAAUUCAGAGUCAGCUUUUAAUUGUGUACAUUUUUUAGAAUCUUCCUGUUAAGGUGUAGAUAAUCUCUUUUUAAAAGAUAAUUUGCUGUUUUGAUAAUAAUGGUCAUCAAAUUCCUUACCAUUUUUUUCAAAUUAGAAAUAGCACUGUUUCCACAGAGAAAUCCUUUCUUCCUUAACAGAGAAAAGAGACAGAACAAGUUCCACUAUUUGCUACUUGUAUGUUAGAAAAUUCACUUGAUUGGCCUAGGCACCUGCUGUCUAACUCACUUACUCAGUCUCUAAGCCUCUUAGGGUAGAAGCAACUUCCUGUCUGCUGCUGUCCAUUAAAGAGCUGACAACAGCAGCUUGCUUUACAAUGCAAAUUUCUUGUGUUGUGCUAACAAUAAAAUAAUAGGUGUAUUCUUAAUUUCCUUCCCAAUGACAGAAUAGGACAUUUUUUUUAAGAUUUGAUUUUCUCUUUUACAGAAAGAAAUAGAUGCAGUGAAAAAUAGUUGCUUUGAAAGAAUUACAGUGGUUUAACAAAAGCAUUAAAUCACGGCUUGUUGUUUCCCAUCUCUGAAAACAUAUUUCUGAAGUGUGACAAGAUAAAGAUUCUCUGCAUGCUUUGAACACAAUUGACCUUUAAACAGCACAGCAGUCUUUGCUAUGAAGGGAUUUGUUUUGUUUUGUUUUGUCUUUUUUUGUCCUUUGUCUGUUGACAUUGCUGCACACCAUAUGAAGGUAUACAUUUAACAUAGGUGGAAUUCUAAUUUAAAAAAUCUCCAAUAGAUGGAACAUUUAAACAUAACACUUUACCUUAUCAAUAUAAAUUAUUAUUAAUAAUAAAAUCAGUAUU
This is a long non-coding RNA of Choloepus didactylus (southern two-toed sloth), 1532 nucleotides long. RefSeq lists it as uncharacterized. The record is from RefSeq and is a predicted model, not a curated record. Lineage: Eukaryota; Metazoa; Chordata; Mammalia; Pilosa; Megalonychidae. The transcript has 3 exons.